CGGGUGAGUAAUACAUCGGAACGUGUCUUCUAGUGGGGGAUAACUGCCCGAAAGGGCAGCUAAUACCGCAUGAGACCUGAGGGUGAAAGCGGGGGAUCGCAAGACCUCGCGCUGGAAGAGCGGCCGAUGUCCGAUUAGCUAGUUGGUGAGGUAAAGGCUCACCAAGGCGACGAUCGGUAGCUGGUCUGAGAGGACGACCAGCCACACUGGGACUGAGACCCGGCCCAG
Molecule: ribosomal RNA, 228 nt
Filed under: uncultured bacterium
Lineage: Bacteria
Description: partial 16S ribosomal RNA
Rfam family: Bacterial small subunit ribosomal RNA
Source: RNAcentral